Molecule: ribosomal RNA, 406 nt
Filed under: uncultured bacterium
Lineage: Bacteria
Description: partial 16S ribosomal RNA
Rfam family: Bacterial small subunit ribosomal RNA
Source: RNAcentral
AUUGAACGCUGGCGGCAGGCCUAACACAUGCAAGUCGAACGAGUGGCGGACGGGUGAGUAAUGUCUGGGAAACUGCCCGAUGGAGGGGGAUAACUACUGGAAACGGUAGCUAAUACCGCAUACCAUCGGAUGUGCCCAGAUGGGAUUAGCUAGUAGGUGGGGUAACGGCUCACCUAGGCGACGAUCCCUAGCUGGUCUGAGAGGAUGAUCAGCCAAACUGGAACUGAGACACGGUCCAGACUCCGACGGGAGGCAGCAGUGGUGAAUAUUGCACAAUGGGAGAAAGCCUGAUGCAGCCAUGCCGCGUGUAUGAAGAAGGCCUGCGGGUUGUAAAGUACUUUCAGCGGGGAUGCGUUACUCGCAGAAGAAGCACCGGCGAACUACGUGCCAGCAGCCGCGGUAAGUC